GUAGGUGAACCUGCGGAAGGAUCAUUAAUGAAUUUAUAAUCCGGCGAGACGAAGGACGAGGACUGUCGCUGGCCUUCAACCGAGGCAUGUGCACGCUCUCUUCUGGACUUUCGCCGUAUGGGCGCGGGGCGACCCGCGUCUUCAUAUACCUCUUCGUGUAGAAAGUCUUCGAAUGUUUUUACCAUCAUCGAGUCGCGACUUCUAGGAGACGCGAUUCUUUGAGACAAAAGUUAUCACAACUUUCAGCAAUGGAUCUCUUGGCUCUCGCAUCGAUGAAGAACGCAGCGAAUCGCGAUAUGUAAUGUGAAUUGCAGAUCUACAGUGAAUCAUCGAAUCUUUGAACGCACCUUGCGCUCCUCGGUGUUCCGAGGAGCAUGCCUGUUUGAGCGUCAGUAAAUUCUCAACCCCUCUCGAUUUGCUUCGAGUGGGGCUUGGAUAGUGGGGGCUGCCGGAGACCUGAAAUUCAUUUCGGGACUCGGGCUCCUCUGAAAUGCAUCGGCUUGCGGUCGACUUUCGACUUUGCGCGACAAAGCUUUCGGCGUGAUAAUGAUCGCCGUUCGCUGAAGCGCAUCAAUGAACGGUCCCGUGCCUCUAAUCAGUCGACGCCUUCCGGGCGUCUUCCUUAUAGACGUUGACCUCA
RNAcentral lists this ribosomal RNA (640 nucleotides) under Suillus umbonatus. RNAcentral describes it as "eukaryotic LSU rRNA". The stretch from base 238 to 392 matches the Rfam family "5.8S ribosomal RNA". The record is from RNAcentral. Lineage: Eukaryota; Fungi; Basidiomycota; Agaricomycetes; Boletales; Suillaceae.